GUGCAUGAUCUCAAGAAACUAACUUUCCAUUUAAAUGUGUAUAUAUAUAUGUAUAUUUAAGUCUAGAGAAUUAUUCUUUUUUUCAUUUGACAGGUCCUUACACUGCAAAAACAGUGUUUAUAUCCUAAAUUCUAAUCUAAGCACUUUUUCUGUGUACAUUUUGAAACACGUUUAGCAUCUAAACAUGUUUAGAUUUUAACAAGUGUUUAGAUUUCAACAAUUAUUAAAAUGUUAGAUGUUUAGAAAUAUAUGGUGUUUAGACCUUAGAACAGUUAGGCUACUAGUACUUUGAUUUCACAGGAACUACUUGGGGUACAGCACUACAGGUUGAAAAGUGCACUGUCAUGACUGUAUUGCAGAAUAUACAAUACACGUGUACAUUUUUGCUUAAAUGACCUUGCAAUGAUUUAUACCAUAAUUUUAUUUGUCAAUAUAGGACAUUGUAUAUUUUUUUAUAUAAAUAAGGCCGUUAUAGUAGUCUCAGAUAGCAUUCACAUUGUAAAACAAAAUGGAAUUCAUCUUCAGUAAUAUUCAAAGUACAAAGAGUACACUUUCGAUCUAACCUGAGACUACUAUAACGUUGUUUUCACGUUACAGUUUGUACGCCAAUGUCACUAAAACUCGCCCGAUUCGGACUAAGACCUGGGAUAAAUUGCCUCAGGGUGUACUGGGGUACUACAGGGUGUUAAAUGAACGUAUAAUAUAGUAGUCUCAGAUCUAACUUAUUUACUCAAUGAUAACGGCCU
This 746-nucleotide long non-coding RNA is filed under the name Mytilus galloprovincialis (Mediterranean mussel). Lineage: Eukaryota; Metazoa; Mollusca; Bivalvia; Mytilida; Mytilidae. The record is from RNAcentral.